AUUCGAGCACCGGCUCCCGCCUCAGCCCCUCACCCCACUGCGGCAGCCUGCAACCUGACAAGUCGGUGGGGGCUGCGCAGCAGCCUGGCACGCCCCCGCCCGCUGGUGGGGCUCAUCGCAAACACCUGCCAGAGCUCGACCGCGCCGGUAGCCGGGAGUCCCAGCAUCAUGUUUGAUCCUGCCCUCGCCCCGGCGCUGCACCGAAACCUUGCCAGUGGCCUUCAAGGGACUCCAUCCAGUGCGUCCUCGCACCUCGAGUGCCCGCGCCGCCGCCUCCCAGGAUUCCCUCCCAGCCAAUGUCCCUCUGACGGUUUUCGCGCCCCUCCUUGACCCUGCUAAACUCAGCUGCCAGGGACCAUCCCCGAGUGAAGGCAGGUGCUCGCGGGGUGCCGGUCCCUGGAGCGGGUGCUGUCCAGGGUGCACGAGGCGCGUCGCCGGUGCGGUGCCCUAGUGGGCCAGAGCAAACCCAGGGCUCCGGAGCGGGGGCGUUUUCGCUAAUCGCCGAACCGCUCCCCUCCGGGUUCCCGCGGAAGGCCAGGGAAGAGCACUGGCCAGAUUGUUGUGGACUCGGGUUCCGGGGCAACGCGCAACGCGGGUCUGGACGCCAGGGAUGGGGUUGAGGCGCUCCAGAGAAGACGCCUCCGAACUCAAGUUCUUCUUCCUCACCAUGGAAGCAAUAUGCAGAAAAAGACCUGAUGCUGAACAUGCUUUGGCCGACUGGGUGCUGCUGAUUUGCAGAUCUCAAUAUGUAUAUCUAUGCUACCAGAGGUUCCACUCAAAGAAAAUGAGCAGUAUUUGCCUCCCCAUUGGAGGUUACAGAGCUUCAGCAAAACCACCAACUUUCUUGAGCUUUGUUCUUUUUAAUUUGCUUUGCAUUGAGGCUAGGGAACUUAAACUGAACUAAGGAUUACUCCCUUUUGUGUUCAUUCAGUAGGUACACAUCUGGUGGUGACUACAUGUGAGAAACUGCUGUGGCAUGUACAAAGGGGAGCUAAAUUAAGAAAAAACAUUAAAAAUGGUCUUUGAACCUUAACACUCACUUUCUAGGACAAAUCUCAGAUACCUACAGUCAGCUCACCUAAGCAAAUGAUGAUAAGUGAAUUUUUGUAGGAGUUCAUGUGAGAAGAACAAGAAGAGAUUGCUUUUUAGAGUACUCAGAUUUCUUAAAAGGGCUUCCAUUUUCCCUAGAAUUACAAGUAUGAUUGAGACAUUACAGAGAUAGUAGGAAAAUGGAAAGGGAGUGACAGGAGCCAAGUUGGGGUAAAAUGUGUGACACUGUCACAAAAUUGGGAGCCACAGAUUCUGUUUUGAUGAAAGAGUUAUAUAUCAGGAACUCACUAGGAAGAACUUCCCACGAGAAUGCAGUUUUCCUAGUUCUAGCAGCCAAUGCAGUAGAUUAAGUGAGAAACAGAGAGAGAGAGAGAGAGAGAGAGAGAGAGAGAGAGAGAGAGAGAGAGAGAGAGACAGCCCACAAUCAGCUGUCCACCAGCGCACACCAGGACAGCCAACAGACUUCCACUGGGAAAGCCAUUACAUGUAGGGUUCUGACACUGGAGGGUGAAUGUUCUGUCUAGAUGUCCCCCAAAACCUCAUGCACCCACAGGUGGGGCUUCUGGGAGGUGACUGAAUCAUGGUUAUGUGACACUCCUGGAUUAGUCCACUGAUGGAAUUAUAAACCCUGGUAGGAAGAGGUAGGUCACUGUGGACGUGGCCUGGAAGGACAUAUAUCCUUCUUCUCUUGAUCCCUCACUGCUUCUUGCCUGCCAUGCCAUGAACUGAUUCUCCUCUGCCAUGCCGCCCUGCAUUGGAGCCAGCCACCUAUGAAAUGAAACCUCUACAAUUUGAGCCAAAUUAAAUCUUUCCUCCUUUAACUUGUGCAUGUCAGGUAUUUUGUUCCAGCAAUGACACAGUGACUAAAAGAGUGAACAAUAUAAGAGUGGUUUAGAAGCCUUGUUUUGACUUUGUAAAGUCAAUGUAUUAAACUUUUC
Molecule: long non-coding RNA, 1988 nt
Organism: Heterocephalus glaber (naked mole-rat)
Lineage: Eukaryota; Metazoa; Chordata; Mammalia; Rodentia; Bathyergidae
Source: Ensembl